UACCUGGUCUUGACAUAGUAAGAACUUUCCAGAGAUGGAUUGGUGCCUUCGGGAACUUACAUACAGGUGCUGCAUGGCUGUCGUCAGCUCGUGUCGUGAGAUGUUGGGUUAAGUCCCGCAACGAGCGCAACCCUUUUCCUUAUUUGCCAGCACUUUGGGUGGGAACUUUAAGGAUACUGCCAGUGACAAACUGGAGGAAGGCGGGGACGACGUCAAGUCAUCAUGGCCCUUACGACCAGGGCUACACACGUGCUACAAUGGUCGGUACAAAGGGUUGCUACCUAGCGAUAGGAUGCUAAUCUCAAAAAG
Molecule: ribosomal RNA, 309 nt
Filed under: Acinetobacter sp. LIPOA/UEL_60
Lineage: Bacteria; Pseudomonadati; Pseudomonadota; Gammaproteobacteria; Moraxellales; Moraxellaceae
Description: bacterial SSU rRNA
Rfam family: Bacterial small subunit ribosomal RNA
Source: RNAcentral